GACGAACGCUGGCGGCGUGCUUAACACAUGCAAGUCGAACGGAAAGGCCCUGCUUUUGUGGGGUGCUCGAGUGGCGAACGGGUGAGUAACACGUGAGUAACCUGCACUUGACUUUGGGAUAACUUCAGGAAACUGGGGCUAAUACCGGAUAGGAGCUCCUGCUGCAUGGUGGGGGAUGGAAAGUUUCGGCGGUUGGGGAUGGACUAGCGGCUUAUCCGCUUGUUGGUGGAGUAGUGGCUUACCAAGGCUUUGACGGGUAGCCGGCCUGAGAGGGUGACCGGCCACAUUGGGACUGAGAUACGGCCCAGACUCCUACGGGAGGCAGCAGUGGGGAAUAUUGCACAAUGGGCGGAAGCCUGAUGCAGCAACGCCGCGUGCGUGAUGACGUCCUUCGAGGUGUAAACCGCUUUCGCCUGUGACGAAGCGUGAGUGACGGUAAUGAGUAAAGAAGCACCGGCUAACUACGUG
This 468-nucleotide ribosomal RNA is filed under the name uncultured bacterium. RNAcentral's name for it is "partial 16S ribosomal RNA". It matches the Rfam family "Bacterial small subunit ribosomal RNA", at positions 28 to 507 of the family's 1533-position model. The record is from RNAcentral.